GCCUGGCCCUAAAUCUCGAUGCUCGAUCUUACCGGAGCAUCCGCCCGAGAACUACGAGCACCAACGCUUAAAACUCUAAGGACUUGGCGGUGCUCCAAACCCACCUAGAGGAGCCUGUUCUGUAAUCGAUGAUCCACGAUAUACCUGACCAUUCCUUGCCAAGUCAGCCUAUAUACCGCCGUCGCCAGCCCACCCAGCAUGAAGGACCAACAGUGGACGCAAUAGCCUAACCCGCUAGUAAGACAGGUCAAGGUAUAGCCUAUGGAAUGGUGGUAAUGGGCUACAUUUUCUAAGCUAGAACAUACGGCAAAGGGAUAUGAAACUGUCCCUGGAAGGAGGAUUUAGCCAGUAAAGUGGGACAAUCGAGCCCUCUUUAAGCCGGCCCUGGAGCACGU
RNAcentral lists this ribosomal RNA (395 nucleotides) under Phylloscopus ijimae (Ijima's leaf-warbler). RNAcentral's name for it is "Seicercus ijimae (Ijima's leaf-warbler) partial 12S ribosomal RNA". It matches the Rfam family "Bacterial small subunit ribosomal RNA", at positions 794 to 1384 of the family's 1533-position model. The record is from RNAcentral. Lineage: Eukaryota; Metazoa; Chordata; Aves; Passeriformes; Phylloscopidae.